AAAUAACAUACCUUCUCUCCGGCUCUCCAUGGUGCAUUUUAUUGGUGACAUUUACCCAUAUACUGCUUUUAUUUUGUGCCCUUUACAAUUCUGCUAACUUGAAAGUUCGACUUCGUGCUAUCAUCUCAAGAUGUUGUAAGUAAAGCUCAUUGGUCAUUGCUACAAAAUGAAAAAUGUGUUAUAUGGGAAGUACGGUUUAACAAUACAAAAAUCAAAAUCAGAAGAUAGGGAACAU
Long non-coding RNA from Arabidopsis thaliana (thale cress), 235 nucleotides. RefSeq annotates it as other RNA. The transcript has a single exon. NCBI's taxonomy places the organism in Eukaryota, Viridiplantae, Streptophyta, Magnoliopsida, Brassicales, Brassicaceae. The record is from RefSeq.